RNAcentral lists this ribosomal RNA (400 nucleotides) under phytoplankton environmental sample. RNAcentral's name for it is "partial small subunit ribosomal RNA". It matches the Rfam family "Eukaryotic small subunit ribosomal RNA", at positions 587 to 940 of the family's 1831-position model. The record is from RNAcentral.
AGCUCCAAUAGCGUAUACUAAAGUUGCUGCGGUUAAAAAGCUCGUAGUUGGAUUUUGGGAGCGUUUAUGACGACCGGUCCGCCGGGAUGGCGAGUACCGUUGUCGCGCUUCUUUGUUUCUCAUCGCGGUCCUGGCGCCGCGCGGUCUUUGUUGGUCGCGUUGGAGGUCGGCGCGUCGAAAGGCGUGAAGAAAGCCGCAUGAGAUCGUUUACUUUGAAAAAAUUAGAGUGUUCAAAGCAGGCUGCAUUUCGGCCGUUGAAUAGUAUAGCAUGGGAUAAUGGAAUAGGACUUGAGUCUUAUUUUGUUGGUUUUCGAGACACAGGUAAUGAUUAAAAGGGACAGUUGGGGAUAUUAGUAUUGAGUUGUCAGAGGUGAAAUUCAUGGAUUUUCGUAAGACUAAC